CUUAUUCUGGGAAAAUUGCAAGGCGUAUAUUUUAUUUACAAGACAGUCAUGUGACACCUUGGUCACCAUAGCAACUUGACAGUUGGGGAAAUGGCUGCCAGGCGGUUUAGCUUGUUUCAAGAAAUGCUAAUAUGACUAUUUUUACAGAAGUUUCUCCAACAAGCUCACCUGGAAGUGUCACAGAGCAGAGACAUCUCUCCACCCAACCGUACUGUAAGACAGCAGAGACAUCGCUCUACCCAACCAUAUGGCAACAGUCCCAGUCUCUUCACUCGUCCCGCAGUUUCUCCACCGGAAGAAAGCACAAGGUAAGGACCUUGCUUCCGGUAGCACUGAAGGCCCCAGUAUUCAGUCAGGCAGCUUGAAGAAGAUGUGUGUCACCAUCCAGGCCAAUGUCACGGCAUGCAGUGGCCUGAUAGGGAGAUGACAAUAAAUGCGUCAUGUACCUUUCAUCAC
Molecule: long non-coding RNA, 456 nt
Filed under: Salmo salar (Atlantic salmon)
Lineage: Eukaryota; Metazoa; Chordata; Actinopteri; Salmoniformes; Salmonidae
Description: lncRNA (ENSSSAG00000114099.1, ENSSSAG00020080098.1, ENSSSAG00075030263.1)
Source: RNAcentral